AAGAGACAGCAGUAGCCGCGGUAAUACGUAGGGUGCAAGCGUUAAUCGGAAUUACUGGGCGUAAAGCGUGCGCAGGCGGUUAUAUAAGACAGAUGUGAAAUCCCCGGGCUCAACCUGGGAACUGCAUUUGUGACUGUAUAGCUAGAGUACGGCAGAGGGGGAUGGAAUUCCGCGUGUAGCAGUGAAAUGCGUAGAUAUGCGGAGGAACACCGAUGGCGAAGGCAAUCCCCUGGGCCUGUACUGACGCUCAUGCACGAAAGCGUGGGGAGCAAACAGGAUUAGAGACCCCCGUAGUCCCUGUCUCUUAUAA
This 310-nucleotide ribosomal RNA is filed under the name uncultured bacterium. RNAcentral's name for it is "partial 16S ribosomal RNA". It matches the Rfam family "Bacterial small subunit ribosomal RNA", at positions 503 to 809 of the family's 1533-position model. The record is from RNAcentral.